Molecule: non-coding RNA, 111 nt
Filed under: Candidatus Paenalcaligenes intestinipullorum
Lineage: Bacteria; Pseudomonadati; Pseudomonadota; Betaproteobacteria; Burkholderiales; Alcaligenaceae
Description: Glycine riboswitch
Rfam family: Glycine riboswitch aptamer
About the family: This family represents the bacterial glycine riboswitch. Glycine riboswitches usually consist of two metabolite-binding aptamers domains with similar structures in tandem. The aptamers cooperatively bind glycine to regulate the expression of downstream genes.
Source: RNAcentral
CAAUCUGGAGAGAGGCAUUUAACGCCCACCGAAGGGGACCAGUUGCUGUGCCUGCACACAAUGCAAUCACGACAACAUGGAUCAAGCUCUCAGGUAACCGGACAGAUGGGG